UGGAAACCACAGACGAGGAGAAGGAUCUCAGAGUAUUGGUUGAUCACAGGAUGACAACGAGCUACCAAUGUGAUGUGGCCGUGAAAAAGUCUAAUGCAGUCCAAGGAUACAUCAGGUCUCAAGCCUGUUCUUCUGCAGCAUGGCUUAGUUUUAGAGGGAACCACCUGAGUUGGGAAUGUGGCCAGUGGCACCCUGGGCUUGAUAUUAGCAGAUGCUGGCUAUGAUGUUUGGAUUGGACAUAACAGAGGGAACUAUUGGGCAAGAAAACACUACAACCUUACAGCUGAUUAGGAGAAAUUUUCAGAUAACAGAACCAACACGACUGCAGCUACACCACAGAUGAAAUUGGAAUGACAUUCUGACCUGG
Long non-coding RNA from Chelonoidis abingdonii (Abingdon island giant tortoise), 367 nucleotides. RefSeq lists it as uncharacterized. Lineage: Eukaryota; Metazoa; Chordata; Testudines; Testudinidae. The record is from RefSeq and is a predicted model, not a curated record.